This 772-nucleotide long non-coding RNA is filed under the name Mus musculus (house mouse). RNAcentral's name for it is "predicted gene, 41225". The record is from RNAcentral. Lineage: Eukaryota; Metazoa; Chordata; Mammalia; Rodentia; Muridae.
ACUUAGGAAUGGAGAAGGGCUAGAAGGAGUUGCAGAGGUCAUCCAUAAGACAGAGGACAGCAAGUUGUUCCAUCUGGAUAUACUAGUUCUUCUGGGAACUGCUUUGUGAUGUCAACACCAGCAGACAUUUUUGGAAAUGAAGAAAGAAAUUAGUCAAGAAAUUAAAGUCAAAACAAAUCUAAUAACAAUAAAGUCCCUCCCUCCAUUGAAAUGCCCAACAGUGGGGAAAGUGGAGGAAUGAGGUUGCCAGCCCAGUAAAAAGCUCUGACUCAGAAUCAUUCCUGUCUAAAAGGACUGCAGGGACAAAAAUGGAGAAGAGACUGAGAAAAAGGAGGUCCAGUGGCCGACUAUAGUCUGAGAAGCCCAACAAGCACCUUACUGAUAUAGAUGCAGGCACUUCCAUUCAAUCAUUGAACUGAAGUCAGAGAUCCCUGUGGUUGAAUUAGGGAAAGGCUGGAAGAAGCUGAGAAGAAGGGCGACUCCAUAGGAAGACCAGCAGUCUCAACUGACCUGGACCCCUGAGAUCUCUCAGAUACUGUGCCACCAGGCAGCAUGCAUCAGCUGGUCCAGGGUUCCCAACACAUAUACAGCAGAGGACUGCCUGGUCUGGCCUCAGUGAGAGAAGAUAUGCCUAGCCUAAGCCAGGAAAGGUCACAGAGAUUGGGGAGACCUGGUGUGGUUAGGGAUUUGUGCAGAGGAUAUCUUGGAGACAGGGAGAGGAGGAGUGGAAUGAGAAACUGUGGAAUGGGGGACUGGAAAGGGAGUAUGAACU